Molecule: long non-coding RNA, 1064 nt
Filed under: Pan troglodytes (chimpanzee)
Lineage: Eukaryota; Metazoa; Chordata; Mammalia; Primates; Hominidae
Description: long non-coding RNA NONPTRT010631
Source: RNAcentral
GAACACAGCUUUAGAGAUGUCAACAGCCUCCUAUGAGUCUAGAGUCAGGUGGUACAGGCUCAACUGGUCUAACAGCUGCAAAUUUUGAGAGAGUGCUGUGCUAAUGUUUGGGGCUCAGAUUUAAGGUAGAGGUAUGAUUUACGUACUUUGAGCAGCCAAGCCUUCUUCAGAAGAAACCUGAGCGGCAUGUGCUCCUCCCCACCUGCUUCCCCGCAACAGGAAGAACUCUGCAGAAGGUCUCCUCACCUUGUUGAGGCCUGGGAAUGUGCAAAUGUGCAGGUGACCUCAGGGAUAAAGGAUGAUACAGUUACAUUCCAUGAACUCUGCAAGUCAGCAUGAGGCACAACCUGGCCUGCAACGCCAUAAGACAGGAGGCACCUAAAGAACUCUUGGCAACUUCUCCAUGCUACCCGAGAGGCACGUGAGCCUCUCUUUGCAGUUUCUCCUUAGUGGCUGGUGACAGUAACUGGUGUUUAGAUGAAGGUGACCGUCGCUGGACUGGCAUGUGGUACCUGACAUUCUUCCAGAACCUUGUCUUUGCAGACUGUGGUCCCUGUGUAAAGUCCCCUGACCAGCGGAUAGCCCCAUGUUUCUGCUUAAUGAAUUUAAUCGAUUCUGGCAUUUUCUCAUAGUCUUGGAUUUUCUCCAGCUCAAGCAGGACAACUUUAAUUCCAUCCUGAACAAGAGCAUUAUACAUGGCUAUUUGCUCUUCAGAUGAACCACCCAGCCAGCUGAAGCCUGAUGUUUCUCUGACUAAAAUGAUAAUCAGUCUUCUGCUUUUCUUUACGUUUUCAUUAAUGACCUCAACAAUGUCUGAAAAACAGGAAGCACAAUAUAGUAAGUAAAAUUCUAUUUAUCAUCAUUCUCUCCUGAACCAAAGCCACACAAGGCUUUUCACAACCGUAUGGCUCCUAACGCCUUUUUCUUGCCUUACUUAAAAUUAAAGGAGUUUCCCAUGUUUUUAAUUAAUUAAUUUUAAGAGACAGGCUCUUGUUCUGUUGCUCACACUGGAGCGCAGUGGCGUGAUCUUGGAUCACUGCAGCCUCAAACUCCUAGGCUCAAGC